This 495-nucleotide ribosomal RNA is filed under the name uncultured bacterium. RNAcentral's name for it is "partial 16S ribosomal RNA". It matches the Rfam family "Bacterial small subunit ribosomal RNA", at positions 29 to 506 of the family's 1533-position model. The record is from RNAcentral.
AUGAACGCUGGCGGCGUGCCUAAUACAUGCAAGUCGAGCGAACGGACGAGAAGCUUGCUUCUCUGAUGUUAGCGGCGGACGGGUGAGUAACACGUGGAUAACCUACCUAUAAGACUGGGAUAACUUCGGGAAACCGGAGCUAAUACCGGAUAAUAUUUUGAACCGCAUGGUUCAAAAGUGAAAGACGGUCUUGCUGUCACUUAUAGAUGGAUCCGCGCUGCAUUAGCUAGUUGGUAAGGUAACGGCUUACCAAGGCAACGAUGCAUAGCCGACCUGAGAGGGUGAUCGGCCACACUGGAACUGAGACACGGUCCAGACUCCUACGGGAGGCAGCAGUAGGGAAUCUUCCGCAAUGGGCGAAAGCCUGACGGAGCAACGCCGCAUGAGUGAUGAAGGUCUUCGGAUCGUAAAACUCUGUUAUUAGGGAAGAACAUAUGUGUAAGUAACUGUGCACAUCUUGACGGUACCUAAUCAGAAAGCCACGGCUAACUACGU